Long non-coding RNA from Cornus florida, 2742 nucleotides. RefSeq lists it as uncharacterized. Lineage: Eukaryota; Viridiplantae; Streptophyta; Magnoliopsida; Cornales; Cornaceae. The record is from RefSeq and is a predicted model, not a curated record. The transcript has 4 exons.
ACGCAUACAAUUUUAGGGCAAAUUAUUUCAGCCUCCCAAAUUGCCUCCAUCUGUAUUCUUGUUCUCAUCAUUUCAGCUUCCAAAUCGCCUCCAUCUCUAUUCUCGUUCUCAACUCGGAACUUGCCCGCUCUCUCUGUCUCUGCAACUGCAAACUACAAAAUCUACAAGAAUCAGAACCCAUAUCAGCAUAUCAUUUCAGAUUGUUGAAAAAAUCAAAACCCAUAUCCUUCAGUUUCCAAAUCCCGCUAUUCUAGCUUGAUCGGGUUCGCUGUUUGCAAGCUUCAGCCUCUGGCUCGCUGUCUCUCAACUCUAAAGCCCUCUCUCUGCAACUGCUAACUUCUGUAGAGCUUUAGAUGAGUAUAAAGCUGGAGCACAACGUUUUGUUAAUUGGGCUAAACUUAAUGCGGGGAAUCGAGAAAGCAUUUUACAUCAAAAUUUGUAAGUGACGCAUUUCUUUUAUGAUUGCACAUUUUUAAUGCUUUUAUACUCAUGCUCAGGGGGGUCACGUGCCUUAAGUGACCAAUUUUGCGGUGUAUAGGGGGUCACGUGCCUUAAGUGACCAUUUCAUUUAUUUUUUGUUUGAUUAGAUGAAAAAAAAAAUAGCUUUUAAGUGUGUGUUUGUGUGUGUGAGAAAGAGAUAUUAAAGAUGAAGGUUUGAAAAUAUGUGACUUUGAGCUUGAGAGGGAGCCAGGAAACUUAACAGGAGAGCCAAAAAAAUUAGCUGAGAAAAGGAUAUUGACUUCUUCAUGCCUGUUCGAUCUUUUGCUCUUUCACCAAAAUUUAUAUUACUUGCAAAAAUGGAACUGCUUUAAAAAUAUAUCUCCUUUAUGAAAAAUUAUACCUAAUAUAACUAUCUCAACGCUUGUUUUCAGAAACUUCAUUUAAGCUCAUUGUCAUACAAAAUGCAGUCUCGAUUAUGGAGUAGAGGUUAUCUAUCUUCAUGUGGACUUGAAUAUUUUCUAUUCACUUUAUGCAUAUGAUUGAUGCAAACUUCUUCUGCCACCUUAUGUAGUCAUUUCUAGAAAACGUCUCAGGAAACUUUGAUCCCUUAAUCCCAAUUGGUAAUCAUUCCACUCAAUUUAUAGUUGAGUUUUAAACAAUCUUAAAAAAGACCAGCAGAAGACAGCUGCUUCCUACCUUUGGUUGUGGACCUCAAAAAUGACACUAGUUUUUCGAAUAUGGAUAGUAUGAAUAAGUUAAUUGUGUAAGAUCAUAAACUGCCAACUUCAGCAAUAAAGAGUAGUUAAGAAUUUAAAUUAUGCACCACAGAAGCCCUGAUAUAGGAACAUUAGAAAUUCAAACAGUUCAAUAAAGAAUUGUGAUUAAGGUUUACUGAGAAAUAAAUUAGGGACAGUUGAAAAUUUAGCAAAGAGGGUUUUGGGAAGAGAACUACGAUUUAUUGGAGCUAUUUUAAUGGUUGAAUUUUGGUUUAAUUAAAAAGAAAACAAGUUGUUUAUCUAAAUUAAUUAGAGAGCAGAGUUAAGGAAAACAAAUAGAGAACAAGUGGAAGAGGAAAGAGGAAAGAGAGCAAAGAAGUAAAAGAAAAUGCAACAACGAGUUUACCAAAAUCAAGGACUAAUGCUUACAGCUGGCUCAAUGUUAUUUGAGACCUAAAGCAAAAAAUCAAAAUAUGGCUUUGAUUUUAAUUUAUCAAUAUAAAAAAUAUUGAUAUUCUGAUAUUUAAAAAAACAAUUUUCUUGCUUUUUGAGAUGCGAAUUGCUAAUCAAGUUUCUGUAAAAUUUUUGGAGUGAUUUUGAUUUAGCACAUUUAAAAAUGAAGUUAAAAAUUAGGAAGAAAUUUUGAAGAAAAUGAAUGUGCAGAAAAGGUGAUACGGAAUAUUCAACUAGAUAAGAAUUCUAAGUGACAUGAAGACUCAAAGGGCAUGGAUAAACUUAAGGAGAUAAGGUGACCAUCUCAUAAGGUAAUUAAAGGAUAAGAUUUAAUUAAUUCAAAGGUUGCACUAAAGAUACGAUUAACUAAUCCCUUCUCUCCCGGAAGGAAAUACGGAAAUGACAACUUCAACUUUCUAUAAAAGUGAGGCCAGUCAACAGAAAAAGGUACGCCAUAAAUCCCAGAUUGAAUCCUUUAUCGGAGAUGGAAUCGUGAAGUACUAAUUUGACCGUCAGAGUGCACCCGGCCGGCACCACGCCGGUCAUCUCUUUUCUCUUGUCUUGCAGGAAUCGUCAAUGGCUCCAGAGUGUGUAUAUUUUUGCAUCAACAAAAGAAAUAGUUAACAAGUGUGAAGAAAUACAAAGUGGUGUGAGAGAAUGAAAAUAUAUAUAUAUAUAUAUAUAUAUAUAUAGGAGAGAGAAGAGGCUGAGAAAAAUAAAAUAGGAGAGAGAAGAGGAGAUGAGAAGGGGGGAAAAAGAGAGUAAGAAAAACAGGUGAAGAUCUUUCACAUUAUACAGAGAGACGGUCGAGUUAUUACAGGAACAGUUGUGUCAACUGGCAAGGCAUCAUGUUGACAAGCCCCUUGCUAAGAGAUGUGCUACCAAUUCUUGUUUCAAUAAUACAAGAGAUACGAAAUGAGGAUUUUGAUUUUGGUUGUGUUUAAAGAAAGGGUAGUAAAUCUGGUGUGUGUGGGGAGGGGAGAAUGGAAGGUCAAAGCUAGGAUUGCGGGAUUGCGGUUCCCAUGACUUUUUUUGUUGCCGUUAUAUUUUUUGUAUGGCUCAUGAUCAAGAAGUUGCAUAUAUGGAAGAGAUACUAAAAUAGAGCAAGAAGAUAUGAAGAAAUUUUGUUUUA